GAGAUGUGGGUAGUCCGCACGAGCGCACCUCACUUUUAGUUGCCAUCAUUAAGUUGGGCACUCUGAAAGAACUGCCAGUGAUAAGCUGGAGGAAGGUGGGGAUGACGUCAAGUCCUCAUGGCCCUUACGUGUUGGGCUACACACGUGCUACAAUGGCAUCUACAACAGGAAGCGAAACGGCAACGUUAAGCAAAUCCCGAAAAGAUGCCUCAGUUCGGAUUGCACUCUGCAACUCGAGUGCAUGAAGCUGGAAUUACUAGUAAUCGUGGAUCAGCGUGCCACGGUGAAUGCGUUCCCGGGUCUUGUACACACCGCCCGUCACACCAUGGGAGUUGGUUCUACCUUAAGGCAAGGCUUUAAACCCUUGACCACGGUAUAGUCAGCGACUGGGGUGAAGUCGUAACAAGGUAGCCGUAGGGGAACCUGCAGCUGGAUUACCUCCUUUCU
This 447-nucleotide ribosomal RNA is filed under the name uncultured Pelagibacterales bacterium. Its description in RNAcentral is "bacterial SSU rRNA". It matches the Rfam family "Bacterial small subunit ribosomal RNA", at positions 1069 to 1533 of the family's 1533-position model. The record is from RNAcentral. Lineage: Bacteria; Pseudomonadati; Pseudomonadota; Alphaproteobacteria; Candidatus Pelagibacterales.